GAUGAACGCUGGCGGCAGGCCUAACACAUGCAAGUCGAACGGGUCCUUCGGGACUAGUGGCGGACGGGUGAGUAACGCGUGGGAACGUGCCCCUUGGUACGGAAUAGCCCCGGGAAACUGGGAGUAAUACCGUAUGUGGUCGAGAGACGAAAGAUUUAUCGCCAAGGGAUCGGCCCGCGUUGGAUUAGGUAGUUGGUGGGGUAAUGGCCUACCAAGCCGACGAUCCAUAGCUGGUUUGAGAGGAUGAUCAGCCACACUGGGACUGAGACACGGCCCAGACUCCUACGGGAGGCAGCAGUGGGGAAUCUUAGACAAUGGGGGAAACCCUGAUCUAGCCAUGCCGCGUGAUCGAUGAAGGCCUUAGGGUUGUAAAGAUCUUUCAGGUGGGAAGAUAAUGACUGUACCACCAGAAGAAGCCCCGGCUAACUCCGUG
RNAcentral lists this ribosomal RNA (433 nucleotides) under uncultured bacterium. RNAcentral's name for it is "bacterial SSU rRNA". It matches the Rfam family "Bacterial small subunit ribosomal RNA", at positions 28 to 507 of the family's 1533-position model. The record is from RNAcentral.